RNAcentral lists this long non-coding RNA (1081 nucleotides) under Anser cygnoides (Swan goose). RNAcentral's name for it is "lncRNA (ENSACDG00005005237.1)". Lineage: Eukaryota; Metazoa; Chordata; Aves; Anseriformes; Anatidae. The record is from RNAcentral.
NNNCCCCGCCGCCGCUGCCCCCGCCGCCCCCCGCCCCGGGCAGCGGCAGCCCGGGCGGCCCCGGCUUCCCCGCCUCGCCCCGCUCCCCCGGCGGUCCCCGGGGACCCGGGGGUCCCUGCUCCCCGGGGGGGCCCCGCGGGCCCGGCUUGCCCGGCCGACCCGGCUCCCCUUUGGGACCCUGGUGAACGAAGGGCGGCGGCGGGGGGUUGGCCCCCGGGUCCUGCAGAGCCUCCACGGCGGCCGUGCUGCCGGGGCCGGGCGGCCGGGCGGCGCUGUAGGGGUCGCAGAUCAUGCGGCAGGUGCCCAUCAUCUCGUAGUGGGCGCCGCUCUCGGCGGGAGCCUGCAGCAGGAGCAGGGGCACGGCGACCAGCAGGGCGACUGCCAUGGCCAGGGCGAGCCCGGCGGCGGCCAGCAGCCGCCUCCUCCGCUGCCAGAGCCGGGAGGCGAGAGACAGCAGGUCCUCCUUGCCGGGAGAGGUAAUGGUGGCGCGGGGGCCGGCCGCUCCCUGCGGGGGGGGACGGCAAAAAAAAAAAGAAAGGCGGUGAGCCCCCCCCCCACCGCCGCCGCCUCCCCGUCGGGGCCCCCCUCAGCCCGCUCGCCCCUCCAUGCCGCCGAGCCCCCCGGGCUCCCGGCGGGGCUGGCACGGAGCUGGGGGGCGGCACGGAGCGGCACGGAGCGGCCGCCCGGCGCUGCCCCCUUCGCCCGCCCCUCGGCGCCGCCCCGACGUGGGGGGAGCGGGGCGAGGCGGGGCGGCCGGACCCACCUGCGGGGCCGGGGUCUCGGGGGAGGGCUCGGCNNNNNNNNNNNNNNNNNNNNAGGGGCGGGGAGCGGCGGCGGGGCUUCGCCGGCCCCCGACGGCCGGCACCGGUGCGGGGGACCCCCCACAUCCCCUCCUGUUCCGUCCCAUCCCGUCUCAUCCCCUCCUGUUCCGUCCCAUCCCGUCUCAUCCCCUCCUGUUCCGUCCCAUCCCGUCCCGUCCUGUCUCGUCCCGUCCCAUCCCGUCCCCUCCUGUCCCCCCCGUCCCGUCCCGUCCCGUCGGGGCAGCGCAGGCAGCGGCUUUGCCGUCCUCUUACCCUCGUUG